UACGUAGAGUGCAAGCGUUAAUCGGAAUUACUGGGCGUAAAGCGUGCGCAGGCGGUUAUGUAAGACAGAUGUGAAAUGCCCGGGCUUAACCUGGGAACUGCAUUUGUGACUGCAUGGCUAGAGUUUGGCAGAGGGGGGUAGAAUUCCACGUGUAGCAGUGAAAUGCGUAGAUAUGUGGAGGAACACCGAUGGCGAAGGCAGCCCCCUGGGUCAAGACUGACGCUCAUGCACGAAAGCGUGGGGAGCAAACAGG
Molecule: ribosomal RNA, 253 nt
Filed under: uncultured bacterium
Lineage: Bacteria
Description: partial 16S ribosomal RNA
Rfam family: Bacterial small subunit ribosomal RNA
Source: RNAcentral